RNAcentral lists this long non-coding RNA (1428 nucleotides) under Nicotiana benthamiana. RNAcentral describes it as "long non-coding RNA (NBEN_LNC034653)". The record is from RNAcentral. Lineage: Eukaryota; Viridiplantae; Streptophyta; Magnoliopsida; Solanales; Solanaceae.
AUGAAGAUCACAUUGAAGAACUUGGAGAGCCGCUCCACUCCUGACCUACUCAUGCAUUUCCAAAACUCCACCGGGGUCUCGUCAAGCCCGGUCGCUCGACCCAUACUUAUCCUACGCAAAGCCCUCAUGACCUCCUCCACCCUAAUGCGCCUACAGUACCCAAGGUCUCUAUGACGCUCCGAAUUCCCCAGCAUCGAUCCCUCUCCUUGUUAAGUAGGUCUCGAAAGUGCGCCUGCCACCAGUGCUUGACUUGAGACUUCCCCAUCAGAACUCUACCAUCCUUGCCUUGAUGCACCAAUUGGUCUAGAUCCUGCCCCUUCAUUUCCCUCACUUUAGCUAACCGGGAUAACUUCAUAUCCCCGCCUUUCUACCCUAAUUCCUCGUACAUUGACCAAAAGCCGCGUUUUUAGCUUCCGUAACUGCCACCUUUGCUUCCUUCCUCGCCACCUUGUAGAUCUUCCUGUUCACUCUCCUUUCUUCCUCACUUGUGCUCCCUGCCAACUUAGCAAACACCGCCUUCUUCACCUCCACUUUUUCUUAGACUAUAUCGUUCCACCACCAGUCACCCUGUGUCGGCAUGAAUAGCCUUUGGCUACCCUGAGCACAUCCCGUGCUACCUUCCUAACCAAGUUCGCCGUCUCGGACCAUAUUGUGUCUGCUUCCCCUGAAUUUCUCCAAGCUCUACCAUCAACUAACCUCCUAUCCAAUUCCUGGGCUUUCUCCUUAAGGUCGUCCCUGAGCACCCCUUCGCUUCCUCUUCACCCAGAGACCGACAUCCAUCAUGAGGAGUCUAUGUAGAUUCGAAAAGGACCCCCCGGAAUAACCUUACAGUCCUUGCAUAAACCUCUAUCGCUCCUUCUGAGAAGAAGGUAAUCAAUCUGAGUCCUCGCUGCCGAACUUUUGAAGGUGACCAAAUGUUCCUCCCUCUUCUGAAAUGUCAAGUUCGCAAUUAGAAGCUCAGAAACCCUGGCGAAAUCAAGCAGUGACGUGCCUUCCGUUCCUAACCCCAAGGCCAAAGCCACCCUGCAUCUCACCAUAACCACCAGCAUCAGCCCCAAUAUGACCAUUAAAGUUCCCUCCAAUAACUAACUUCUCAUAUUGGGGAAUAUUACUCACCAAAUCAUCCAAGCCCUCCUCAAAGCGCCUCUUAACCUCCUCAUCUAAGCCCACUUGCGGCGCAUAAGCGUUGAUGACGUUGAUGAUGCAACCCCCAAUAACCAACUUAUAGAUAUUAACCUAUCAUUCACUAUCCUAACCUCAACCACAGACUCCCUUAGAUCCCUAUCCACCAAGAUGCCCACUCCAUUCUUACCUCUCAUGACCCCAGAAUACCAGAGCUUAAACUCGUCUGCAUUCCUCGUCUUCGACCCUUUCCACCUAGUAUCUUGGACAAAGGCUAUGUUGAACUUCAUCUUCUGAAGAACCUUC